CAGCAGCCACGGUAAUACGAAGGGGGCUAGCGUUGCUCGGAAUGACUGGGCGUAAAGGGCGCGUAGGCGGCUGACACAGUCAGAUGUGAAAUUCCUGGGCUCAACCUGGGGACUGCAUUUGAGACGUGUUGGCUUGAGUGGAGAAGAGGGUCGUGGAAUUUCCAGUGUAGAGGUGAAAUUCGUAGAUAUUGGAAAGAACACCGGUGGCGAAGGCGGCGACCUGGUCUUUAACUGACGCUGAGGCGCGAAAGCGUGGGGAGCAAACAGGAUUAGAUACCCCCGUAGUCCCUGUCUCUUAUAC
Molecule: ribosomal RNA, 301 nt
Filed under: uncultured bacterium
Lineage: Bacteria
Description: partial 16S ribosomal RNA
Rfam family: Bacterial small subunit ribosomal RNA
Source: RNAcentral